UGGUUCACCAAAACUGUUCUCAGUAUCAUCUCAUGUCAUUUUGUGUCCGAUCUUCAGAAAAAGAUAGCCAUCAUGUUGUUUCGGGAGGCUCUAAAUGAGGUUAGGUGGUCCAGCAUUGAUGUGGACAUGGACUCGGUUUUGGCCAACCAAACCGGUAAUUGGUGACCAUCCACUUAGCGGCGAGGUGAAAGGUCCCUUUUACGGCUAAAAUGACAAUUGGGUUUGAAGUGGGUGAAAUUGUGUUGAGGUCCAAAUUUGGACCACAAACUGACAGCAGGGUAUCCUACGGAUGUAACACAAACGAUCAAAUUCUCAUUGCUAACCAUCAUGAUUGCUUCACCGCCAUAUCAUGCAAGCAUGCAUGUCGAGCGCAGUCGUUGGUUUCCAUGGCGAGAGGAUACGCAAGAUAUUUUAUGUAACUCUGUUUCUAUUUUCAAGCUGUAUUUAAAAAUUUUGUUAAAAAGAUAACAUGGAUUAGUGAGGAAGACAUAUAAAGUUAAAAAUAAUAUAUGAUUACUAAUGAAUUAUUCGACAGUCACAAACAAGAGAUCAUGAAUCACAUCAACGUCUCAAUUGUUUUGGUUAGAUAUUAUUGGAUACAAACCAGGACGGGCACCCAUGAUGGGCAAAACCCGAUCUAUGCCCAUUUGAAAAUGAAUGAGAGGGAAUGAUUAGUAGCAGUCAUUUGCAUGCAUAAUUAAUUAAUCAACACUAAACACUACUUAUAUUCAUAUCAUUCUUGUUACAAAUUAUAAGUUAAUUAAUAAUAACUCAUAUGGAAUCAAAAGUUAACAAGUUCCCAAUCAUCAUCUACAUUCCAACAUAUAAUUAUUAUUAAUUAACACUAAUUAUACAAAAUUCUAGAUCUUAGGUCAGAAAUCCCUCGUUCCUACCAAACCAUGAACUCCCACUUGACAACGAUAUUUAAGCAUGCCAAAUAUACAAUAAUUAUUUAAAUGAUACAUGUAAUAUAAAUAGAUACCAAUAUCAUGAAUACUAAAUAACAUUUAAUCUUCACAAUAUGUUCAUAAUACAUAAUCACAUGAGUCAUAAUUAACAAAUUAAUAACAUAACAACUACAUCAUAAGCCAACAUUUUCUACUAGAUAAGAAACAUAUUUUUUUAAUAAUAUAUUCAAAAAUACUCAAUUAUGCCUUGAUUCAAUUCCCUCAUGAUUCUAUGCCCAGUCCUUUAUAGCCAUCAACCUCCCUUAUGCCGGCCAUAUACAGCAUAUCUGAUAUCAUGGAGACUUGAGAGCUCAGACAAUACAACAAUACAUCCAACAGCUCUCUUCACAAAAUAAGUAUAUUCAUCGUACUCGCAUAUAAUGUCCGAUGUCACUAUGCGAUAAGAUCCCCACUGAUAUUCAAUCAUUAUUUCUUAUAGCCUUAUGGCCAGAAUUUAGAUAAAGUCUUUUUAAGCAAAGACAUCUUCCAAUGCUCAUCAAUGACAUAAUUAUGAUUCUCAAUUAAUUUAAAUAUUCAAUUAACAAUAUUAGUGUGUUCCUUCAUCUCAUGAUUAAGAUCCAUCCUCUAGUUCCUGAUGGGCUCCAAUAGAUGUUGAGUAAGCCUCAAAGAUUUUUUGGUGUGAAUUAUGAUCACCAUUUUGACAUGAUUUAACAAAAAAGAAUGUGAAUACUUUAAUAUUAACGAGUACAACUUAACAUGGUUUCAAGAAUAACACAUGUUAUGCCAUUAACAAAAAUAUUCAUGACAUACUAAAAUAUUAUUAAGAUAUCAUAUGAUACAUUGGCAAUAAAAUUAUGAUUCAACAAAUCACUAAAUACUCAAGGCAGAAAAUAACCGUUAGUUACAGAUUAUAUAAAAUGUAGUAACCACCUAAUUAAUAAGAUUUUUUUCAAUCUCCACAUCGAUUCUCUUCUAACAUAAUAAGGCACAAAUCUCUCUUAUCUAACUCUGCAAAUUUGACACUUAAGUUAUGAUAUAAGUAUAUUUUCUAUACUGUGAUUGCACACACGACCUAUUAAAAAAUGUUGGUUAGAUUGAUCCUUUACUUGUAGGUUAACAAAGAACAAGAGAUAUGCCUAUAUUCUUAUAUAUCUCUUCUAUUUUUUUAUUUAUUUAUUUAUUUUCACUCUUUUCAGAUAUCAAAAGAUAUCACGAGUAAUUCGAGACAAAAGACUGGCCACC
RNAcentral lists this long non-coding RNA (2150 nucleotides) under Elaeis guineensis (African oil palm). Its description in RNAcentral is "long non-coding RNA (EGUI_LNC048248)". Lineage: Eukaryota; Viridiplantae; Streptophyta; Magnoliopsida; Arecales; Arecaceae. The record is from RNAcentral.